AGACCGAUAGCGAACAAGUAGAGUGAUCGAAAGAUGAAAAGCACUUUGUGAAAGAGAGUUAAACAGUACGUGAAAUUGUUGAAAGGGAAGCGCUUGCAACCAGACUUGCGCGCGGCCGAUCAUCCGGUGUUCGCACCGGUGCACUCGGCCGCGCGCAGGCCAGCAUCGGUUCGGGUGGCUGGACAAAGGCCUCGGGAAUGUGGCUCCUCUCGGGGAGUGUUAUAGCCCGAGGCGCAAUGCAGCCUACCCGGACCGAGGACCGCGCUUCGGCUAGGAUGCUGGCGUAAUGGUUAAGUAAGCGACCCGUCUUGAAACACGGACCAAG
Molecule: ribosomal RNA, 325 nt
Filed under: Oidiodendron sp. CL086
Lineage: Eukaryota; Fungi; Ascomycota; Leotiomycetes; Myxotrichaceae
Description: LSU rRNA
Rfam family: Eukaryotic large subunit ribosomal RNA
Source: RNAcentral